This 253-nucleotide ribosomal RNA is filed under the name uncultured bacterium. RNAcentral's name for it is "partial 16S ribosomal RNA". It matches the Rfam family "Bacterial small subunit ribosomal RNA", at positions 524 to 776 of the family's 1533-position model. The record is from RNAcentral.
UACGUAGGGUGCAAGCGUUGUCCGGAAUUAUUGGGCGUAAAGAGCUCGUAGGCGGUUUGUCGCGUCGGCUGUGAAAACCUGGGGCUCAACCCCGGGCCUGCAGCCGAUACGGGCAAACUAGAAUUCGGUAGGGGAGACUGGAAUUCCUGGUGUAGCGGUGAAAUGCGCAGAUAUCAGGAGGAACACCGAUGGCGAAGGCAGGUCUCUGGGCAUUAACUGACGCUGAGGAGCGAAAGCAUGGGGAGCGAACAGG